Molecule: ribosomal RNA, 256 nt
Filed under: uncultured bacterium
Lineage: Bacteria
Description: partial 16S ribosomal RNA
Rfam family: Bacterial small subunit ribosomal RNA
Source: RNAcentral
UACGUAGGGUGCGAGCGUUGUCCGGAAUUAUUGGGCGUAAAGAGCUCGUAGGCGGUGUGUCACGUCGUUCGUGAAAACCUGCAGCUUAACUGUGGGCGUGCGGUCGAUACGGGCAUCACUGGAGUUCGGCAGGGGAGACUGGAAUUCCUGGUGUAGCGGUGAAAUGCGCAGAUAUCAGGAAGAACACCCGUGGCGAAAGCGGCUCUCUGGAACGGUACGUGACGCUGAGACGGCGAAAGCGUGGGGAGCGAACAGG